This 290-nucleotide ribosomal RNA is filed under the name uncultured bacterium. Its description in RNAcentral is "partial 16S ribosomal RNA". It matches the Rfam family "Bacterial small subunit ribosomal RNA", at positions 338 to 640 of the family's 1533-position model. The record is from RNAcentral.
CCUACGGGAGGCAGCAGUGGGGAAUAUUGCACAAUGGGCGCAAGCCUGAUGCAGCGACGCCGCGUGAGGGAUGACGGCCUUCGGGUUGUAAACCUCUUUCAGUAGGGAAGAAGCGUAAGUGACGGUACCUGCAGAAGAAGCGCCGGCUAACUACGUGCCAGCAGCCGCGGUAAUACGUAGGGCGCAAGCGUUAUCCGGAAUUAUUGGGCGUAAAGAGCUCGUAGGCGGUUUGUCGCGUCUGCUGUGAAAGACCGGGGCUCAACUCCGGUUCUGCAGUGGGUACGGGCAGA